Molecule: long non-coding RNA, 6100 nt
Filed under: Homo sapiens (human)
Lineage: Eukaryota; Metazoa; Chordata; Mammalia; Primates; Hominidae
Description: HSALNT0143960
Source: RNAcentral
CACAGGCCUCAACCUGUUCCCACAUAUACCACAGUCCUAAAGGCCAAUCUCACUUCCACCGCACCCCACUAAUGGCACCAAGUCUAUUUCCAGGCAGCUGGUGACCAGAAUUGAGAACUUGCCCCAGACCAUGAGCCUCCCCAUUGAGAAAGCAAGCCGACUCACAGUUUUUCGGCAUCUCAAGGAGCCUGCAGCAGUGAUCCAGGUCCUUCAAAGGGUCUUUGGAUUCUCUCAGCUUUCCUGGCCUUCGAUGAAUUGGACGAUGUCCACCCACAUGGUGAGGGCAGAUCUUUCUUACUCCACCCACCGAUGCAGAUGUCAAUCUCUUCUGGAAGCACUUUCAAGGGCAUACCCAGAGCUAAAGCUUGACCAGCAUUAGUUGGUAAAUAUGUGAUUAGGAACUCUUUAUGAACCAGAAAAGAGAAAUCUUGCACUGAUUGGAAUAUGGCAGCCACUCACCAUCUCCCCUGUCUGCUCUCACUCAGUUUAUGUGACCCAAUGGGAAUGGAGAAUCUCAGGCAUAAAACCAACUGCUUCGUGGGUUACUCUGGAAAAUUCUAAACUGAAGCUUUUUGAGAAAGGCGACAUUACCUCAGAACUUCCACAUGUAGCUACUGUGGAGUUUCUGUUUAUGUGAAUGGAUAUUUUCACCAGAUAUUGGAAACAUGCUGAAGCUGGAUUCCAGUGCAAUAAAGGCAACUCAUUUAGCCAUUGGCCUGUGAUACUAUGAGAAAUACAGUUAAAUUAGACGAAUGCUCCACCAGGAAUUGUGGCCAAAAUAAAUGAUCAUUUUUUAAAAAAGAAAAAGAUAAAGACACAACAGAUUGUCAUUUUUUUCUUCUUGUCGAUGUCCUUGAAAAACAGACUUGAAGUCUCAAAUGAACACCUUAAAUUCCAAAUAACCAUUGAGGCAUUGGGGAAGACUUGUCUCCUUGUUGAUUCUAUGGAUGGAUAGAUGGAUGAUGAGUACUACAAAUAUUUUUAUCUCCUAUGUAUAAAUUAAAGGAAUAGUAACUGAGAAGGGCUUCAGAAAGCUUAUUGGAGGAUAGGCAUUCAGAGAAAAAACUGAAGGAUGAGUAAUUACAGGUGAAGUUGGAGGAGAGGCUAUUUUUGAUUGAAAGAAAAGUAAAGAGAAAGGCAUAGACAGAACUAAAGGAAAUGCAAUUUUACCUCUCAUACGAAGAGCAAUGAUUGUCCCCUCACUUUCAUAUUUCAAUAGAAGAAAAAUCUUUUUCCAAAUAAAAAUCAGAAAACUAAAAAAAUUAUUGAAAUAUUUCUAAUAAAUAACAUUUUCCUAUUUAUUACUUUAUUGCUAUAUUUUCUUAUAAAAUAUAUUUAAAUUAGAUACACAUAAAUAAUAUAUAAUCUAUCUUUAAAUUAGCAAAAUUUUAUACAAUACAAAUCACAAUUUUUAUAUUAUAUAUUCUUACCAUUCUUGUUCAUUUCUUGUCCAUAUAAAUUCACAUUAAUAUAAUUAUUAUUAUAGUGCAGAUACUACUUAAUAUUCCUUUUAACAUUAUUUGGUAAAAAAAAAGUUUUAGCAUUAUAUUUUUAAUUAUUAUAUAUAAUUAUUCAUAGCAUUCCAUUGAAUAGAUAAACUAUUAUUUAGUUUAACCAUUCUAAUGUUUCAAUAUUUUUGCUAUUAUACAUAAUGCUGCAAAGAAUAUCUUACUAGUGUGGCCAUUUUACUGCAAUGUUUUUUACCUUAGAUUUUAUUCUGUGAAUAACAUUACUAAAUGAAAGGAAUUUAUCUUUCUUAUGGUUUUUAAUAUGUAUUGCCAAUUGCAAUCACAAAACAAUCACUAGUUGCACACCAAUCAGCGGCAUAUUAGUGUAUUAAUUUCACCAAGUCCUGCCUUCAUUGGGUGCUACCAUGUUUUGGACUUUUUAACUGUUGAAUAAUUUAUCAGGUAUAUAAAUAAUCCAAAGAAUUUAAACUUUAAUGAACUGUUCCUCUACUGCUAAUCUAGCCCACAUAGGGAUUGUGAAGAUAGCUCAUUUAAUAAAUACUUCUUGACCACUGUCUUUGUUCUCAUUCCAUGCAGCAAAAGUAGCAGAGAAAAAGAAGCACAAGAGGAGAGAGGUGAUGAGGAUUCUGAACACAGAAGGCCUUCUAGGCCCUGUGUAUUAGGAUUUUGCCUUUAAUUAUGAGUGCCAUGGGGAGCCACUGUAAGGGAAACAAUUUCAUGUGAUCCUUGUCCUUUGGGAGCUUUUAAAAUCUUAAUGACGAGAUUAGAAUCAGAUGUUGUUCCCCAUCUCCCCAAAAUCCUGCCUCAACUCCAUCCUCAUCAUUGUGCAGAGAUCAGAAUACCAUGACCAGUCAUUGGAAAUACUGUUCCUCUCUCAGUAAGAAUGGAAGAAGGGAGGGCAUGGAGGGCCUCCUGUAUCUGGAGCAUUGUUAGGUGCUACAUAUCCAAUCUAAUUUUGUCCAACAACAGUCCUGUAAGGCAGGUCCCAUUUCUACAGAGGAAGAAACUGAGGCUCAAGGUGCUCACUUUGGGAAGACCUUCUGUUUGUCUUCCUUACAAAGAGAGAAAACAUUAGAUGCCUGAGUGCGCUCAAGGAGCUUUGACAGAAUCUGAAUCAUUUUUACUCUGUCUUUCAUGUUUAAAUUUCCAACAUACCUUUGUCGUUUUCAUCCACUGGAAACUGAGGCAUCCCAUGAUUCACAAAAUUGGCCCAUUGUUUAAACUGUCACCCUUCUUUCCUUAAUUCCACUCAUGAGCAUUUGGACCCAACCAAAGGAGGUUGGUUGGAUCCCACAACAGCAAGUCCACUGAACCGGGAAUAUGCAAUGGAAAUUGAAAUCUAUAAUGUGUUCUAUGAUUUUGAACAUGUCUACUCUCUCCCUGCAUCUCAAUCCCUCAAAUGUGCAGUGGGGGGAUGGAGAGAUAAGGCAGAGGAUCUCUGGGGAUCAUUCUUGCUUUAAUGAUCUAUGACAAAAUUUUCCCAGUGUACUGCACAGCCAGAAAGAGCCAAGGCUGAGAGCUAUUUCUCCCCAGAAAUGUGAUUCCACAGUCUUGGUUUCCUGGAACAACUGAAGAGUGUGGUAAUAGAAUCCAUGAAGAGAAACUUUAUGUGGCUAAUAUUCCAAAGCUUUCUAAGUGCAGUAAUAAACAGAGCACAUCUUGGUGACACAGAAAUUAUGAGGCAGAGACCAUAAUAAUAAUUCAUGUCUGCUUCUAUUCACUAUUGACAAGAUGUGCUUCCACUCCCAAGACACCAGAGCAGCAGAAAAAUAAGUAAUUCCCUGAGUUGCCACCACACUAUUUUGCUUUAUGCUAGUUUUUCUUCCUUUCUUUUCUGUCACCCACAAAAGUGAAACCCAGUCAUCUACAGAAGCUGCCUUUUGUCUAGGAGUAAGUGGUGGUUAUUAUCUGCAUCAUAUGAAGCUAGGCAUCAUGGUUUCCAUGCUGGAAAGCAAAGCUCCCCUAUGUUAGGCAUCUUUGGUUUACAAUAACAUACACUCAAUAACUGAGAAGAAAUUUUGAAUAGAUCACACUUGCAAAAUAUUUCCCAGACUGAAAAUUUCACGGAGACUGGUGAUCACGUAGGCCAAGUGUACUUUAUUUCCCCCGUCUCUCCAUUCCUCAGCCCCUGAAAUAAUUCCUAGGAGAUUUUUAGCUAACUCCGGCUGAGUCCACCAACAGAUGUGAAACUUAUUACCUUACUGUUUUGUGGCCCUUCCUAUUCUAUUUUCUUGCAACAGCUCCAAUUAUUAAAGUGAAAUACGACAUCUUAGCCCUUUUGGAGCAAGGCAGGAAGCAUUUAUUCUUUGAUUGUGUAACUGUUCUUCAAGAAUGUGUAAUGAGCCUCACACCUCUUCUAAGUCUUCUUUUUUCCAUGUUAAACAUUCACAAUUUCUUCCCCAUUCCUGGUUGGUAUAGGUCUCAGAUCUUGCUCUCAUAUUGUUUAGGCUUCCAAAGUGGUGCCACUUGACCAACACAAACUUGGAAAUAAGACAUCCUAAGCUUGAAACAACACAUCCAAUGUGGUCUAUCUUAGAGAAAAUGAUUGAAAUUGUCACCUGCCUUAAUCGGUACAUUUCAACUCUAUUACAAUAAUUUUGCCUAAGAAUGUUUUGAUUUUUCCAGCAACUGUGGCACACACUUGGUUUAUGUUUAGUCCUGUGAUCAACAUAUGAGCUUUGCUCUUCCUCCAAGGCACAAGCAGGAAUGUAGUGAGUAGCAAAGUGCUCUUGGUCACUCAAAUGUAUUGACAAAACAGGACCUCUUUAUGAAAUUAUAAAGUCAUCCCAGAUUGUAUUUUGGACAUUUCUUUUAUUUCUCAUGUUCUCAUACUUUCUGUAGUCUCCUCUGCCCCCAACAUACAUGCCUGACUUCUACUCAAAAGUAGUUCUACUCUGCUGUAGUAGUUCAGAGCCUGGCUUGUAAAGGCAGCCUGCUCAGGGUCAUAUUCCAGCUCUGACAUUUGCCUGCCCUGUAGGUUUCAGAAACUCAAUGUCUUUUGCUUGUUUAAGAUUUUUUACGUUAUGUAUAAAGUAAUAAUACUAUCUCCCUCAUUAUGUUGUUAUGAGAAUUUAAUGAUUUCAUAUAUCUUAGGCACUUAGGACAGUGCCUGGCACAUACUGAGUGCUAGCUGAUACAAUAAGCCUAGCAUGGUAUUUGGGACAAUCAGGUCUGAGGCUCGGGGUACCAGGGAUAUAGUCAUUACCCAGGUCCAGUAAUAUAUGUCACUUCUUUUUUUUCAGACCUUCAAUUUCUUUAGCUAUAAAAUAGGGAAAUCAAACAGUAAGAAAUAACAACAAUUCUUUCCAGCUCUGUCAUUUUUAAAACUGUAAUUGUCUGCAAGUCUUUGAUCUUCCAGCUCCUGACAUGGGUGGAGCAAGCAUCCCCAGCUUGGAUAAUAGGGGGAACAAGCUGAUGAUAUGACUCUUUUUGUAGACAUUGCUACUAGUGUUCAAACAAAUAAAGAUGUAAAGGCAAAAUGUUUCAUAAUUCUGGCAGGCAAAUUUGGAAAGACUUCUGAGGUCAGCGCCGCCUUAUCAGAGCCCCUUACAUCACACUACAUAGAGAGGCUGCCCACUCCCCAAAUUGCUACAAUUGGUAAUGUGGUAGAAGUAUUAAGAAAAGCCUGGGCAGUCAGAGAUGAGAGAUCAUGUCAUUUUGAGGGCUGAUAUAAAGAAAGGAAUCCAUUUUUCAUGGAAAUGCUUGGCUUUGCAUGAGCCUUUGAAAACCCACACAGUAAAUGCAGUGGAAAAGGCAAUGCACCACAGCAUAAGGCCAGAGGUCUGGGGAUACCUCAACUACAAAACCAACACAGCACUUAAUUGUAGCCAUAUGUCUGAAUCAGCCAGAAAUGCAACUUCUUCAUCAGUCCAAUGGGAUACUAAUGCUCUCGCUUGACUUUCUCACAGAACUGCAAGAGAUCAUGAACGUAAAGGCAUUUUGAAAGUUCAUUUCAACUGCAAUAUGGUAGUGACAGUAAGGUUCCUGACCUUCCAAGGCCAGAAUCUGUGUCCUGUAACCUCCACCACAAUUUAGUUCCUGAAACUACACACAAAAACACAGCCACUCUAGAAGAUGAAAGUGCAAAAUUACUUUCUUCCCCUACUCAAUGCCAUUAAAUGGCUUCCUUGACAUCUACAGCUCUUUGCAGUAAUGUUCACUAUGACUAAAUGUGUGGCUAAUAAUACCUUUUAUGAUCUGACCAUUUUAUCGCCUUAGCCUCAUUUUUCUCAUGCUUUGCUUUUAAGAUUUCAUGUCUUUGCUAUUGUGAAUAGUGCUGCAACAAACCUGCACAUGUACCCUUGAACUUAAAAUAAAAGUUAAAAAAAAAAUGUUCCUGAAGGAAAAAAAAAAAGUCUAAGAUUUUGUAGACUGAUCUUCCAGUUUCUUGAACAUACACAUUUCCUCUCACUUUAUGCUGCCACUUCUGCCUGGCUAGCUCCUACUCAUCUUCAGGUCUCAGCCUUUUACCUUUUAUUUGUUAUGUUAUUUUAUUUUUUUGAGACUGAGUCUUGCUCUUGUCACCCAGGCUGGAGUGCAGUGGCGCAAUCUCAGCUCACUGCAACCUCAACCUCCAGAGUUCAAGUGAUUCUCCUGCCUCAGCCUCCCAAAUAGCUAGAAUUACAAGUGCC